Molecule: ribosomal RNA, 464 nt
Filed under: Vreelandella stevensii
Lineage: Bacteria; Pseudomonadati; Pseudomonadota; Gammaproteobacteria; Oceanospirillales; Halomonadaceae
Description: partial 16S ribosomal RNA
Rfam family: Bacterial small subunit ribosomal RNA
Source: RNAcentral
CCUACGGGCGGCUGCAGUGGGGAAUAUUGGACAAUGGGCGAAAGCCUGAUCCAGCCAUGCCGCGUGUGUGAAGAAGGCCUUCGGGUUGUAAAGCACUUUCAGUGGGGAAGAAAGCCUUGGGGCUAAUACCCUCGAGGAAGGACAUCACCCACAGAAGAAGCACCGGCUAACUCCGUGCCAGCAGCCGCGGUAAUACGGAGGGUGCGAGCGUUAAUCGGAAUUACUGGGCGUAAAGCGCGCGUAGGCGGUCUGAUAAGCCGGUUGUGAAAGCCCCGGGCUCAACCUGGGAACGGCAUCCGGAACUGUCAGGCUAGAGUGCAGGAGAGGAAGGUAGAAUUCCCGGUGUAGCGGUGAAAUGCGUAGAGAUCGGGAGGAAUACCAGUGGCGAAGGCGGCCUUCUGGACUGACACUGACGCUGAGGUGCGAAAGCGUGGGUAGCAAACAGGAUUAGAUACCCUGUAGUC